GACGAACGCUGGCGGCGUGCCUAACACAUGCAAGUCGAACGGAAAGGCCCUGCUUUUGUGGGGUGCUCGAGUGGCGAACGGGUGAGUAACACGUGAGUAACCUGCCCUUGACUUUGGGAUAACUUCAGGAAACUGGGGCUAAUACCGGAUAGGAGCUCCUGCUGCAUGGUGGGGGUUGGAAAGUUUCGGCGGUUGGGGAUGGACUCGCGGCUCAUCAGCGUGUUGGUGGGGUAGUGGCUUACCAAGGCUUUGACGGGUAGCCGGCCUGGGAGGGUGACCGGCCACAUUGGGACUGAGAUACGGCCCAGACUCCUACGGGAGGCAGCAGUGGGGAAUAUUGCACAAUGGGCGGAAGCCUGAUGCAGCAACGCCGCGUGCGGGAUGACGGCCUUCGGGUUGUAAACCGCUUUCGCCUGUGACGAAGCGUGAGUGACGGUAAUGGGUAAAGAAGCACCGGCUAACUACGUG
RNAcentral lists this ribosomal RNA (468 nucleotides) under uncultured bacterium. RNAcentral's name for it is "partial 16S ribosomal RNA". It matches the Rfam family "Bacterial small subunit ribosomal RNA", at positions 28 to 507 of the family's 1533-position model. The record is from RNAcentral.